UGCCAGCAGCCGCGGUAAUACGGAGGGGGCUAGCGUUGUUCGGAUUUACUGGGCGUAAAGCGCACGUAGGCGGCGUAUCUAGUUGGGGGUGAAAGGCCCGGGCUCAACCUGGGAACUGCCUUUAAUACUGGUAAGCUAGAGUCCGGGAGAGGGUAGCGGAAUUCCAAGUGUAGAGGUGAAAUUCGUAGAUAUUUGGAAGAACACCGGUGGCGAAGGCGGCUACCUGGACCGGCACUGACGCUGAGGUGCGAAAGCGUGGGGAGCGAACAGGAUUAGAUA
RNAcentral lists this ribosomal RNA (279 nucleotides) under uncultured bacterium. Its description in RNAcentral is "partial 16S ribosomal RNA". It matches the Rfam family "Bacterial small subunit ribosomal RNA", at positions 506 to 784 of the family's 1533-position model. The record is from RNAcentral.